RNAcentral lists this long non-coding RNA (374 nucleotides) under Musa acuminata (dwarf banana). RNAcentral's name for it is "long non-coding RNA (MACU_LNC003595)". Lineage: Eukaryota; Viridiplantae; Streptophyta; Magnoliopsida; Zingiberales; Musaceae. The record is from RNAcentral.
GGGAUUAGUCACCAUAGGCCUACCGGAACCAUUUCCGACAACACGCUGAGAGGGAUUAGUCACCACAGGCCUACUAGAACCAUUUCCGACAACACGCUGAGAGGGAUUAGUUACCACAGGCCUACUAGAACCAUUUCCGACAACACGCUGAGAGGGAUUGGUUACCACAGGCCUACUAGAACCGUUUCCGACAACACGCUGAGAGGGAUUAGUCACCGCAGGCCUACUAGAACCAUUUCCGACAACACGCUGAGAGGGAUUAGUCACCAUAGGCUUGCUGGAACCAUUUCCGACAAAACGCUGAGAGGGAUUAGUCACCAUAGGCUUGCUGGAACCAUUUCCGACAACACGCUGAGAGGGAUUGGUCCCCAUAG